Passer domesticus (house sparrow) is the source of this 2840-nucleotide long non-coding RNA. RefSeq lists it as uncharacterized. The transcript is spliced from 2 exons. The record is from RefSeq and is a predicted model, not a curated record. NCBI's taxonomy places the organism in Eukaryota, Metazoa, Chordata, Aves, Passeriformes, Passeridae.
CCAGCCUUGUUACCUCCUUGCUGGCCAGAAGGGAAAGAGACCCUCUGUGGCUUUCUUGUCUUUAACAUGUGUCUUCACAGAGGCAUGUACACUUUCCUUAGUGGUUAAACAGACUGUCAAUUCUCAAAGCUAAUUACUGAUUGGUUUUUUUGUCAGACACCAACAAAAUUGCUAGCAGCUUCUCUAUAGAACAUCACUUCCAUGAUGCAAAACCCCCAUAACAGCACAGAGCACAGAGCUCCUUUUUCCAUAUGUAGUAGUCAUGAGCCGUAGGCCUCAAAACCCAUCCUUGGGAGAUCUCUGGGCCCUGUCCAAAGUGUGUCCAAAUGAAAAUAUUCAACUCAUAGUCUAAGAAAAUCAGCAGAGGACAGUGCCAUCCUGACGUGCCUGUCCUGGCUACUUUUGUCUGGGAGCAAUCCAGGGGUAUACAGAAUUUGGGAGGCCAAAUUCUAAUUUUGGUCAUGGCCCCUGGAUAUGAAAGCCAGUUCUUUUCCACAGGAAUGAAGGAACAGAGCCCCAGUGUUUCAGGGGCAGAUGAGAGGUAACCACCAGAGGCCAAGGCCAGCCAGAGGUGCCAGGUUUUAUUCGGAGAGAUACCCCUCCAGGAGCUGAUGAGAGGCAGCCCUUGACAUCCCAAGAUCAGCCAGACCUGUCAGGUGGCCCCUGGGAGGCCAAGCCAACCAGACCUGUUCCAUGUUCCCUGGGUUCCAUCAGGCCCCACAGAGUCAUAAUGGUCUCUGGGGUCCAUGAAGCCCCGCUGUGUCACCAUGGCCCCUUGGUUCCAUGGGCUCCAGUGGUGCCACAAUGCUCCCCUUGGUUUCAUGAGGUCCCCACAGUGUCCCAGGGAUCUCCAUGGCAAGGAAAGAACCAAGCCCCAGUGAUGCAGGGACAGUCACCAGAGGCCAAGGCCAGCCAGACUUGACAGUACUGGUAGAUUUUGCCUGGGAGCAAUUCUUGGAUAUGCAGACUUUUAGAGGUGGAAUCCCAAUUUCACGCAUGGACACCAGAGGAGAAGGAUGGUCCUGUUCCAUAGGAAGGAAAGCACGGAGCACCGGGGUUUGACAGGCAGAUGAAAGGCAGCCAUCAGAGGCCUAGGACAGACAGACCUCUCUGUCCUGGUAGCUUUUGUCUGACAGCAACCCUUGGAUAUAGGGGAUUUUGGAGGUGGAAUCCCAAUUUUAGCCAUUUCUGCAUAGAUAAGAAGGACAGUUCUUUUCCAUAGGAAGGAAAGCACAAAACCCAAGGGUUUCAAAGGCAGAAGAGGAGAGAGGUGGCUCCUGGGUGGCCAAGACAGCCAGACCUGUUUGUCCUGGCAGCUUUCAUCAUGGAGGAAUCCUUGGAUAUAUGGAAUUUGGUAGGAAGAAUCUCAGUUUUGUCCACGGGCAUCUUGAGAAGAAGGAUGGUUCUUUUCCAUUGGAAGGAAAGCCCAACACACAGUGUUUGGAAAGCAGAUGAGAUGCAGCCUCCAAGAGGCCAAGGGCAGCCAGACCUGUCUGUCCUGGCAUCUUUCAUUGGGGGGAAAUCCUUGGAUGUAUUGUGUUCUUGAGAUGGAAUCCCAGAUUUGACCAUGGGACCCUGGUCAAGAUGGAUGGGUUUUUUUGUAUUGGAAAGAAAAGUGCAAAGUCCAGGUGUUCUGGAAGAUGAUGAGAGUUGGCCACCAUUAAGACAAGCCAGCCAAACCUCUCUCUGCUGGCACCUUUUGUCUAGGGGCUUUCCUUGGUCACAGGGCAUUUUGGAGGUGGAAUGUCAAUUUUGGCCAUGGGCACCUGGACAGCAAGAAGAGUUCUUUUCAUUAGGAAGGAAAGCACAGAGCCUCAGUGUUUCAGAGGCAGAUGAGUACCAGCCCUCAGGAAGCCAAGGCCAGCCAGACUUGUCACUCCUGGCAGCUUUUGUCUGGGAGUUAUCUUUGGAUAUAGGGAAUGCUGGAGACAGAUGCCCAAUUUUAGUCAUGGGUGCCUAGUCCAGAUGGAUGUUUUUUUUCCCAUAAGAAAGAAAAGCACAUGGUCCCAGUGUUUCAAAGGCAGAUGACAGGUGGCCCCUGGACGGCCAAGGCAGCCACAGCUGUCACUCCUGGCAGAUUUCAUCUGGAAACAACCUUUGCAUAUAAGGAAAUUUGGAGGAGGAAUCCCAAUUUUGACAUGGGCCCCUGGAGGACAAGGACAGUUCUCUCCCAUAGGAAGGAAAGCCCAGAGCCCCAGUGCUUCAAGGGCAGAUGAGAAGCAGCCCUUGACACGCCAAGGUCAGCUGGACCUGUCAGGUGAUCCCCAGGAGGCCCAGCCAGCCAGACCUGUUCCCUGUUCCCUUGGUUUUGUGAGACCCCACAGUGUCCCAAUGGUCUCCUUGGUUCCAUGAGGCCCUGGAGUGUCCUUUGUGCUCCCACAAAGCCCUGAUCUGUCACCAUGACCCCUCGGCUCCAUGUGCCCUCACUGUGUCACAAUGGCUCCUCUGUGACACUGGGGGCUCCACAAGGUCACCAUGGACCCUUGGGGCUUGGGGCCCCUGAGUUUCACAAUGGAGACAGUCCUGGAUUGCCAAGCAGAUUGUAUUCUCUUUGCCAUCUGUAUGGCAGUUGUCUUCUGUUAAAGGAACAGCAGCUGCCUCUUCCACUGGAUUUUCAGAGGAAGACUACACCUUUCUACAGGAUCCCUGCUCCAACAGAACCGCACCUGACACUCCAGGAGGACUGCAGCCACCAUUCCAAUUGGACUGCUACCAACACCCUGUGCAACAGGGUGUCAGGUUGUGUUCUGAUUCUGUCAGUGUUGUCUUGCUUUACUGCAUUGUUUAUUUUAUCUUUUUAUUUGUUUCCCUAAUAAAGAACUGUUAUUCCUGCUCCCAUA